RNAcentral lists this transfer RNA (72 nucleotides) under Ovis aries (sheep). It matches the Rfam family "tRNA". From Rfam's summary of the family: Transfer RNA (tRNA) molecules are approximately 80 nucleotides in length. Their secondary structure includes four short double-helical elements and three loops (D, anti-codon, and T loops). Lineage: Eukaryota; Metazoa; Chordata; Mammalia; Artiodactyla; Bovidae. The record is from Rfam by way of RNAcentral.
UCCCUGGUGGCUCAGAUGGUAAAGCAUCUGCCUGCAAUGUGGGAGACCCGGGUUCGAUUCCUGGUUCAGGAA